RNAcentral lists this long non-coding RNA (306 nucleotides) under Citrus sinensis (sweet orange). RNAcentral's name for it is "long non-coding RNA (CSIN_LNC000378)". Lineage: Eukaryota; Viridiplantae; Streptophyta; Magnoliopsida; Sapindales; Rutaceae. The record is from RNAcentral.
GGUGAAUGAAUAAUCAGAAGUGUAACGACGUAAAGGUGGACCAAACGACGGGCGACUGAGCUGAUAUCAUAAUCGCCACUCAUUUGCCAAAAUAGGCGCAUCUGGCUAUUCCCAUGUGCCUAUUAUAACAUAACCAGAUCAUAACUCCCAAAAUAGCCCCCACCCCAUGUGACUUGUCCCUCUCAUCUCAUAUCGACGACGACGCAUUUUCCAAAAGACCACUCUUACCAAAAUACCCUUCAACGAACUUUACCUCUCCACCGAACACAAACUCUCGGUGCAUUUCAAAAUCCUAUAAAAUCCCCC